RNAcentral lists this ribosomal RNA (375 nucleotides) under uncultured bacterium. RNAcentral describes it as "bacterial SSU rRNA". It matches the Rfam family "Bacterial small subunit ribosomal RNA", at positions 521 to 896 of the family's 1533-position model. The record is from RNAcentral.
UAAUACGUAGGCAGCGAGCGUUGUUCGGAGUUACUGGGCGUAAAGCGUGCGUAGGCGGUUUUGUAAGUUUGGUGUGAAAUCUCCCGGCUCAACCGGGAGGGUGCGCCGAAAACUGCAAGGCUGGAGUGUGGGAGAGGUAGGCGGAAUUCCUGGUGUAGCGGUGAAAUGCGUAGAUAUCAGGAGGAACACCUGUGGUGUAGACGGCUUACUGGACCAUAACUGACGCUGAGGCACGAAAGCGUGGGGAGCAAACAGGAUUAGAUACCCUGGUAGUCCACGCCCUAAACGAUGCAUACUUGGUGUGGGUAAUUCAUUUUAUCCGUGCCGGAGCUAACGCGUUAAGUAUGCCGCCUGGGGAGUACGGUCGCAAGGCUG